UACGUAGGGUGCAAGCGUUGUCCGGAAUUAUUGGGCGUAAAGAGCUCGUAGGCGGCUUGUCACGUCUGCUGUGAAAACUCGGGGCUCAACCCCGAGCCUGCAGUGGAUACGGGCUAGCUAGAGUGCGGUAGGGGAGACUGGAAUUCCUGGUGUAGCGGUGAAAUGCGUAGAUAUUGGGAGGAACACCAGUGGCGAAGGCGGCUCACUGGACCGGAACUGACGCUGAGGCGCGAAAGCGUGGGGAGCAAACGGG
This 253-nucleotide ribosomal RNA is filed under the name uncultured bacterium. RNAcentral's name for it is "partial 16S ribosomal RNA". It matches the Rfam family "Bacterial small subunit ribosomal RNA", at positions 524 to 776 of the family's 1533-position model. The record is from RNAcentral.